CAGGGGGGGCAAGCGUUGUUCGGAAUUACUGGGCGUAAAGGGUUCGUAGGUGGCCAACUAAGUCAGACGUGAAAUCCCUCAGCUUAACUGGGGAACUGCGUCUGAUACUGGAUGGCUUGAGUGUAGGAGAGGAAUGCGGAAUUCCAGGUGUAGCGGUGAAAUGCGUAGAUAUCUGGAGGAACACCGGUGGCGAAGGCGGCAUUCUGGACUACAACUGACACUGAGGAACGAAAGCCAGGGGAGCAAACGGGAUUAGAUACCCCGGUAGUCCUGGCCCUAAACGAUGAAUGCUUGGUGUAACGGGUAUCGAUCCCUGUUGUGCCGAAGCUAACGCAUUAAGCAUUCCGCCUGGGGAGUACGGUCGCAAGGCUG
RNAcentral lists this ribosomal RNA (372 nucleotides) under uncultured organism. RNAcentral describes it as "bacterial SSU rRNA". It matches the Rfam family "Bacterial small subunit ribosomal RNA", at positions 526 to 896 of the family's 1533-position model. The record is from RNAcentral.